RNAcentral lists this ribosomal RNA (510 nucleotides) under uncultured Alphaproteobacteria bacterium. RNAcentral describes it as "bacterial SSU rRNA". It matches the Rfam family "Bacterial small subunit ribosomal RNA", at positions 9 to 524 of the family's 1533-position model. The record is from RNAcentral. Lineage: Bacteria; Pseudomonadati; Pseudomonadota; Alphaproteobacteria.
GAGUUUGAUCCUGGCUCAGAAUCAACGCUGGCGGCGUGCCUAACACAUGCAAGUCGAACGCGAAAGGGGCUUCGGCCCUGAGUAGAGUGGCGAACGGGUGAGCAACACGUGGGUGAUCUACCUUCGAGUGGGGGAUAACGUCCCGAAAGGGACGCUAAUACCGCAUGAUGUUCCGGGUUUGAAGACCUGGAAACCAAAGCCGGGGACCGCAAGGCCUGGCGCUCAAAGAGGAGCCCGCGUCCGAUUAGCUAGUUGGCGGGGUAAUGGCCCACCAAGCCGACGAUCGGUAGCUGGUCUGAGAGGAUGAUCAGCCACACUGGGACUGAAAUACGGCCCAGACUCCUACGGGAGGCAGCAGUGGGGAAUAUUGGACAAUGGGGGCAACCCUGAUCCAGCAAUGCCGCGUGAGUGAUGAAGGCCUUAGGGUUGUAAAGCUCUUUUGGCGGGGACGAUGAUGACGGUACCCGCAGAAUAAGCCCCGGCUAACUUCGUGACAGCAGCCGCAGUAAC